Molecule: ribosomal RNA, 1032 nt
Filed under: Triticum aestivum (bread wheat)
Lineage: Eukaryota; Viridiplantae; Streptophyta; Magnoliopsida; Poales; Poaceae
Description: partial small subunit ribosomal RNA
Source: RNAcentral
AUGGCCGAACGCUUCCCCGACGACGCCGCGGCGGCCAACGGCUUCGGCCGUCGGUCGCUCCAGGAGUGGGAGGCGUGGCUGCUUUUCGAGGCCAACAUCCCGGCGCCGCCGGACAUGCGCGCUGGGCCGAUGGGGUGGAGGCUUAGCAACGGCGGCGUCCCCAUCCCCUCGGUGCCCGACGUCGACGCGCGCCUCGGCGUCUUCGCCGCCGAGGUCGACCACGUGCGGUCGUCCCUCACGGAGGAGCAGCGCGCCCUCCCCCAGUACGCCGCCAACAACCACGCGGCGUGGGCGGACUACUUCCAGCGGUGGCAGGCGCAUCGGCUGGCGUCCACGAACGGGGCGUCGGUGGUGGGCGGCGUUAAGAACAACGACGGCCGCCGCUCUCGUGGGGCGUCCCGGGCCAUACGCUCCACGAGGUGCUGGAGUACCUCGAGGGCGGCAAUAACCCGCCGCUGGCAUACCGUGCCGCGGCGGCCGUCCCCCCCCUCACCGGAGCGCAGGAGGUUCGACUCCUCCUCCUCUUCCUCCUCCCACUCUUUCGGCUCGCCGGCGCUCUUUGGCGUCAAGGCCGAGCCCCCCGCGGAGACGCCGCUCGAUCGGCGCACCCGCAGAGCCGGCAUCGUCAUCAACGAGGGCGGCCGGCGCACCUCCUCCUCGGCCCCUCCACGCUUCGUCAAGCCAAAGACGGAGCUGGGGCUCCACGUCGUGAAGACGGAGCCCGGGCUCGACGACGAAGCGACCCUCAAAUGGGCGCGCGACGACUGGGCGCGCACGGAGCUGGAGCGCCAGCGCGCCGCCUACGCGCGGUUUGAAGCUCGGCGCCGUGGCCGGGACGAGGGAGGCGUCGUCGUCCUCGACGACGACACGCCGCCACCACCGGUCCGCUAUGGAGACGCCGGGCAGGGGUCCAGUAGGGCGGGCGUGCCAUCAAGGAGAAGGCCGCCGCCGCCGACGAGGAUGACGGCGACGUCGGCGACUUCGCCGCGCUCAGCGACUUCUUCGUCCCGUAGAAGUCUGUUUUUAAAAUAA